This is a long non-coding RNA of Myotis davidii, 102 nucleotides long. RefSeq lists it as uncharacterized. NCBI's taxonomy places the organism in Eukaryota, Metazoa, Chordata, Mammalia, Chiroptera, Vespertilionidae. The record is from RefSeq and is a predicted model, not a curated record. The transcript has 3 exons.
CUCUGCUGUUUGAAUUUUGUUUUAAAGUUACUCUGAGUAGGAAACAUAAAAAGGGAUUUGAACCUGACCAGGAUGGCUCAGAGGUUGAGGAUCAGAAGAGCA